This 429-nucleotide ribosomal RNA is filed under the name uncultured Candidatus Branchiomonas sp. RNAcentral's name for it is "bacterial SSU rRNA". It matches the Rfam family "Bacterial small subunit ribosomal RNA", at positions 355 to 776 of the family's 1533-position model. The record is from RNAcentral. Lineage: Bacteria; Pseudomonadati; Pseudomonadota; Betaproteobacteria; Burkholderiales.
UGGGGAAUAUUUGACAAUGGGGGAAACCCUGAUCAAGCGAUGCCGCGUGAUUGAAGAAGGCCUUCGGGUUGUAAAGAUCUUUCGUUGAGGGAGAAAAAACGAGUCCGAACAAGGCUCGUCCAUGACAUACUCAAAAAAGAAGGACCGGCAAACUACGUGCCAGCAGCCGCGGUAAAACGUAGGGUCCGAGCGUUAAUCGGAAUUACUGGGCGUAAAGCGUACGUAGGCGGUUGCCUAAGUCAGAUGUGAAAUCCCCGGGCUCAACCUGGGAACUGCGUUUGAUACUGGGUGGCUAGAGAUAGACAGAGGAAAGUAGAAUUCUCGCAAGUAGUGGUGAAAUGCGUAGAUAUGCGGAGGAAUACUCGUGGCGAAGGCGGCUUUCUGGGUCAUAUCUGACGCUGAAGUACGAAAGCGUGGGUAGCAAACAGG